AAGCAAUUAAAGCCAAAUCACUAGAAGUAAGGAAACUUUAACAUCAUGAAGAAUAUGGAAACUACAUCACCUUCAAAACAUGAUGGAAGAAGAACAAAGGCUAUUGAUGAAAAUUCAGAUUCAUUCUCUAAAAUCAAAAUGGAAGAGAAAGUUAUUAAGAAACUAAAUCAUGACAUUUGUGAAAUCACAGAAAGGAUCACAGAGAAAUUGUCAAAAAGAGAUUAUCUCGAAUCUGUGUUGAGACGCUUAAUUAGUUAUCGACGAUGCUCGCCACACA
This is a long non-coding RNA of Trifolium pratense (red clover), 277 nucleotides long. RefSeq lists it as uncharacterized. The transcript is spliced from 3 exons. The record is from RefSeq and is a predicted model, not a curated record. Lineage: Eukaryota; Viridiplantae; Streptophyta; Magnoliopsida; Fabales; Fabaceae.